Pelobates cultripes (western spadefoot toad) is the source of this 225-nucleotide non-coding RNA. The record is from the annotation of a GenBank genome assembly. Lineage: Eukaryota; Metazoa; Chordata; Amphibia; Anura; Pelobatidae.
GUGACUGUCUGCCUGAGUGUGACUGUCUGCCUGAGUGUGACUGUCUGCCUGAGUGUGUGUGUGUAUGUGUGUGGCUGUUUGCCUGUCUUUGUAUGUGUGGGUGUUUGCCUCGAAGUCAGUGACUGUCUGCCUGGGUGUCAGUGACUGUCUGCCUCUGUGUGUGCGCGCAUCUGCUAGUGAGGGAGUGUGUGUGUGUGUGUGUGUGCCUGCUAGUGAGUUUGUGUG